UACGAAGGGGGCUAGCGUUGCUCGGAAUCACUGGGCGUAAAGCGCACGUAGGCGGCUUGUUAAGUCAGGGGUGAAAUCCUGGAGCUCAACUCCAGAACUGCCCUUGAUACUGAGGAUCUUGAGUUCGGGAGAGGUGAGUGGAACUGCGAGUGUAGAGGUGAAAUUCGUAGAUAUUCGCAAGAACACCAGUGGCGAAGGCGGCUCACUGGCCCGAUACUGACGCUGAGGCACGAAAGCGUGGGGAGCAAACAGG
Molecule: ribosomal RNA, 253 nt
Filed under: uncultured bacterium
Lineage: Bacteria
Description: partial 16S ribosomal RNA
Rfam family: Bacterial small subunit ribosomal RNA
Source: RNAcentral